GAUGAACGCUGGCGGCGUGCCUAAUACAUGCAAGUCGAGCGAACGGACGAGAAGCUUGCUUUUCUGAUGUUAGCGGCGGACGGGUGAGUAACACGUGGAUAACCUACCUAUAAGACUGGGAUAACUUCGGGAAACCGGAGCUAAUACCGGAUAAUAUUUUGAACCGCAUGGUUCAAAAGUGAAAGACGGUCUUGCUGUCACUUAUAGAUGGAUCCGCGCUGCAUUAGCUAGUUGGUAAGGUAACGGCUUACCAAGGCAACGAUGCAUAGCCGACCUGAGAGGGUGAUCGGCCACACUGGAACUGAGACACGGUCCAGACUCCUACGGGAGGCAGCCGUAGGGAAUCUUCCGCAAAGGGCGAAAGCCUGACGGAGCAACGCCGCGUGAGUGAUGAAGGUCUUCGGAUCGUAAAACUCUGUUAUUAGGGAAGAACAUAUGUGUAAGUAACUGUGCACAUCUUGACGGUACCUAAUCAGAAAGCCACGGCUAACUACGUG
Molecule: ribosomal RNA, 497 nt
Filed under: uncultured bacterium
Lineage: Bacteria
Description: partial 16S ribosomal RNA
Rfam family: Bacterial small subunit ribosomal RNA
Source: RNAcentral